UGGAUCUCUGAACUGAGAGUCAGUCUGUC
Molecule: non-coding RNA, 29 nt
Filed under: Mus musculus (house mouse)
Lineage: Eukaryota; Metazoa; Chordata; Mammalia; Rodentia; Muridae
Source: RNAcentral